This 253-nucleotide ribosomal RNA is filed under the name uncultured bacterium. Its description in RNAcentral is "partial 16S ribosomal RNA". It matches the Rfam family "Bacterial small subunit ribosomal RNA", at positions 524 to 776 of the family's 1533-position model. The record is from RNAcentral.
UACAGAGGUCCCGAGCGUUGUCCGGAAUUACUGGGCGUAAAGAGCUCGUAGGUGGUUUGUCGCGUUGUUCGUGAAAACUCACAGCUUAACUGUGGGCGUGCGGGCGAUACGGGCAGACUUGAGUACUGCAGGGGAGACUGGAAUUCCUGGUGUAGCGGUGGAAUGCGCAGAUAUCAGGAGGAACACCGGUGGCGAAGGCGGGUCUCUGGGCAGUAACUGACGCUGAGGAGCGAAAGCGUGGGGAGCGAACAGG